RNAcentral lists this unclassified non-coding RNA (197 nucleotides) under plant metagenome. RNAcentral's name for it is "partial contains small subunit ribosomal RNA and internal transcribed spacer 1". The stretch from base 1 to 46 matches the Rfam family "Eukaryotic small subunit ribosomal RNA", at positions 1786 to 1831 of the family's 1831-position model. The record is from RNAcentral.
AAGUCGUAACAAGGUCUCCGUUGGUGAACCAGCGGAGGGAUCAUUACUGAGUUUUUAACUCUUAAACCAUAUGUGAACAUACCUAUUAGCUGCUUUGGCAGGCUUGGUAACACAAGUCUGCCGGUAGUAUUUUAAAACUCUUUUUUUAUUCUAAAGAAUUAUUCAUUGCUGAGUGGCAUUAACAUAAUAAGUUAAAA